AGUGGGGAAUAUUGCACAAUGGGCGCAAGCCUGAUGCAGCCAUGCCGCGUGUAUGAAGAAGGCCUUCGGGUUGUAAAGUACUUUCAGCAGUGAGGAAGGUUCAUACGUUAAUAGCGUAUGGAUUUGACGUUAGCUGCAGAAGAAGCACCGGCUAACUCCGUGCCAGCAGCCGCGGUAAUACGGAGGGUGCGAGCGUUAAUCGGAAUUACUGGGCGUAAAGCGCAUGCAGGUGGUUUGUUAAGUCAGAUGUGAAAGCCCGGGGCUCAACCUCGGAAUUGCAUUUGAAACUGGCAGGCUAGAGUACUGUAGAGGGGGGUAGAAUUUCAGGUGUAGCGGUGAAAUGCGUAGAGAUCUGAAGGAAUACCGGUGGCGAAGGCGGCCCCCUGGACAGAUACUGACACUCAGAUGCGAAAGCGUGGGGAGCAAA
This 427-nucleotide ribosomal RNA is filed under the name uncultured Vibrio sp. RNAcentral's name for it is "bacterial SSU rRNA". It matches the Rfam family "Bacterial small subunit ribosomal RNA", at positions 353 to 772 of the family's 1533-position model. Lineage: Bacteria; Pseudomonadati; Pseudomonadota; Gammaproteobacteria; Vibrionales; Vibrionaceae. The record is from RNAcentral.